CAAGGUAUGUAGUUAGAAACCUUAGUGCUUCCUGAUAACUGAAACCACUUCCCCACAUGCUCUUUGUUUGCAAAAAUCGUGUCUGUCUCCUGCGCAGCUGCAAGGACUUACAUGUCUACUCCACCCUGACUUCUCCUUUGACCUAACUUCAAGCAACAGUAGGAAAAAAAUCAGUGGGACAUUGAAAACUCGUGGAUAGAGUGAUGGAAACCAGCCUAUCUCCCUUGAAGAAAUGCAGUUUCAGAGACAUUCAGUACCAGAAGAAGCCUAGUCUGGUCUGACCUUUUACAGAGUGUGGGCCAGAGCAUUUCAGCCAAUGAUUCCUGAUUUACAGCCUCUUUGUAUCUCACACCCGUUACCCCUGCUGCACAGGUGAUGAAGCAGACUUAUAACAGCUCUCUCAUUCCACCACCCGAAGGAAAAACAACUCCUUUACAGAAAGUUCUGCAUCUCUGGAGGCCCAAAACUGAAACCUGACUGAUGAGGUUUUUGCAAAACCACCCCCAACCCCAGCACCUGACCCAGGUCCCAGAGCAACGCUGAGGACUGCUGCAACCCAGGCUCGGUAGCAACAGCACACCGCAAGCGAAGCUGAAGGCCGAGGGACUGUGGAUCUCAGCAGCCCGCCGUGGGUC
RNAcentral lists this long non-coding RNA (635 nucleotides) under Crocodylus porosus (Australian saltwater crocodile). RNAcentral's name for it is "lncRNA (ENSCPRG00005003776.1)". Lineage: Eukaryota; Metazoa; Chordata; Crocodylia; Crocodylidae. The record is from RNAcentral.